AAAAUACGGGAGGCAGCAGUGAGGAAUAUUGGUCAAUGGGCGAGAGCCUGAACCAGCCAAGUAGCGUGCAGGAUGACGGCCCUAUGGGUUGUAAACUGCUUUUGUAUGGGGAUAAAGUCAGUCACGUGUGAUUGUUUGCAGGUACCAUACGAAUAAGGACCGGCUAAUUCCGUGCCAGCAGCCGCGGUAAUUUUU
This 195-nucleotide ribosomal RNA is filed under the name uncultured bacterium. RNAcentral describes it as "partial 16S ribosomal RNA". It matches the Rfam family "Bacterial small subunit ribosomal RNA", at positions 333 to 528 of the family's 1533-position model. The record is from RNAcentral.